Molecule: long non-coding RNA, 1042 nt
Organism: Carassius auratus (goldfish)
Lineage: Eukaryota; Metazoa; Chordata; Actinopteri; Cypriniformes; Cyprinidae
Exons: 4
Source: RefSeq, a predicted model, not a curated record
AGGUACACAAGACCUCGCUGAGGAAAUAAAAGGAGAAGAAGAGCAGCAGUGUCCUGGCGUCCUUUCUGACUCGUCAAGAAGCGGCGCAGGCAAACGCUCGAGAAGAAAGACAGUCUAUGAAAAAGCUAUGACAAAAAGACGUCUGGAUCAGGAAAGAGCAAAAACCCGAGUUACAAUCGGCUCUGCUUUCCCCCGCUGGAGACAGCUGCGAGAGUCAAAGUGUCUGAAGACCGAUGCCAUGGUUGCCCUUUUUCUUCUGGACAAUUACGAGAAAAGUACAACAUCCACACCUUUGUUGCAUGAAUUCAUAAAGCCACCACCAGAGUUUUCCAACGGUUUUUCCGAGUCUUCGUACGAACAACACAGGCCUGAAAUCAAGUUUCUCAUUAAGGAGGAAGAGGAGGAGAAACCUGCCUGUAAAAUUGAGGGUUUAUGAGGAGAGAGAGUAGGAUGCUUCUGUUGGCAAUCAGUACGCAAUCCAUGAAUGAUAUUCUUCCUGUUCUCAGAGAUGGACCUGCUGUGAACUCUGAACCUGUUCAUGAUGAGAAUCAAUCCUGACAACAGCAUGUGCUCCUCAAAGGUCCAGAUCAGCAGAAGAAGUGGAAGAUGGUGAAAGGAAGAGCUCUGGCCUGAAACACCUGUGUGGCCUCCUUAAUGAAGGAGUUUGUGGAUUCAACUGGCAAAAUGACUAAAUCUACUAAAUAUAUUCUGCUUGUUUUUUAAUCUUUCAAUGUUAAUAUAAUACUUAGGAUUGUUCAUGUAUUCCAUCCAAUUGUUCAUGAUUUUCUUUUUUAAUGCUUCAGUAUGUGUGUUACUCUUGUGUGUUACUGCAGGUUGUCUGACAUUUUUCUUUAAAUAGUGAUAGUGGACAAUAAUUCACUUGUUUUCAACAAUAGUCCAAUUUACUGUAACGAAGUGCAGGGGCUGCUUUUGUGUUCAUGAAUUGAAUCACUAUUCGUUAUUAUUAUUAUUAUUAUUAUAAUUAUUAUAGUAUGUUGUGCUCAGGAUAGCUGUGAUUCAUUAAAGGAGAGUUUUCUAAAUA